Molecule: small nucleolar RNA, 223 nt
Organism: Xenia sp. Carnegie-2017
Lineage: Eukaryota; Metazoa; Cnidaria; Anthozoa; Malacalcyonacea; Xeniidae
Product: small nucleolar RNA SNORA73 family
Exons: 1
Source: RefSeq, a predicted model, not a curated record
GUGAUGUAGAUAUCCAGUGGAAUUAGCCUCCAUUGGCUUUGUCUUUGUGGCACAUGGGAACCUAAAGUCAUUUGACAUGCAGUAAAUUCCUAGCCAUGACAUCAUAUAAUAAAACUACCCCAGAUAUUUAUAUCUGUUUGGUGUAGUACUUUGCAUAUUCCUUGUGUCUCCUAUAGUUAUUAUGUAACAAUAACUAGGAGGAUAAACCAUGCAAUGAAUAUUU